This 93-nucleotide transfer RNA is filed under the name Candidatus Alloenteromonas pullicola. RNAcentral's name for it is "tRNA-Ser". It matches the Rfam family "tRNA". Rfam says of the family: Transfer RNA (tRNA) molecules are approximately 80 nucleotides in length. The record is from RNAcentral. Lineage: Bacteria; Bacillati; Bacillota.
GGAGGCGUACCCAAGAGGCCGAAGGGGGCAGGUUGCUAACCUGUUAGGUCGGGAUUUCCCGGCGCUCGAGUUCAAAUCUCGACGCCUCCGCCA